GAUGAACGCUGGCGGCGUGCCUAAUACAUGCAAGUCGAGCGAACAGACGAGGAGCUUGCUCCUCUGAGGUUAGCGGCGGACGGGUGAGUAACACGUGGAUAACCUACCUAUAAGACUGGGAUACCUUCGGGAAACCGGAGCUAAUACCGGAUAAUAUAUUGAACCGCAUGGUUCAAUAGUGAAAGACGGUUUUGCUGUCACUUAUAGAUGGAUCCGCGCCGCAUUAGCUAGUUGGUAAGGUAACGGCUUACCAAGGCAACGAUGCGUAGCCGACCUGAGAGGGUGAUCGGCCACACGGGAACUGAGACACGGCCCAGACUCCUACGGGAGGCCGCAGUAGGGAAUCUUCCGCAAUGGGCGAAAGCCUGACGGAGCAACGCCGCGUGAGGGAUGAAGGUCUUCGGAUCGUAAAACUCUGUUAUUAGGGAAGAACAAAUGUGUAAGUAACUAUGCACGUCUUGACGGUACCUAAUCAGAAAGCCACGGCUAACUACGUG
Molecule: ribosomal RNA, 497 nt
Filed under: uncultured bacterium
Lineage: Bacteria
Description: partial 16S ribosomal RNA
Rfam family: Bacterial small subunit ribosomal RNA
Source: RNAcentral